Molecule: ribosomal RNA, 507 nt
Filed under: Artemia parthenogenetic lineage
Lineage: Eukaryota; Metazoa; Arthropoda; Branchiopoda; Anostraca; Artemiidae
Description: Artemia parthenogenetica partial 12S ribosomal RNA
Source: RNAcentral
CAAGAGUGUGCUACUUCAACAGGGGUGAAAUCUGCAUAUACCAUGAAUUUUUUGAUUAAAGUACCUUUUAGGUGGUCAAAUGACUAGGAUUAGAUACCCUAUUAGUCCACUCUUAAUUAACCUGGGUAGUAGAAUCGAAACCUAAAGAAUCUGGCGGUUUCUAAACCUACUAGAGGAACCUGCCCCAUAAACGACAAUCCACGAAAAAAUUCACCCGGGCUAGUUAUGCAGCUUAUAUACCGUCGUUUAGAGGACUAAAUAAAUAGAUCCUCUUAAAAGCUUAGGCUAAUAAAUCAGAUCAAGGUGUAGCUCAUGCCCGGGAGAGGGUGGGUUACAAUGAAAAUUCAUACGGAGCUUUUAUUUUAUGAUAGAAAAGAAGGUGGAUUUAGAAGUAAGACUUAAUAUACUGAAAAAGGCUCUCAGAAAUGUACACAUCGCCCGUCGCUCUCUUGUCCGAAGAGAUAAGUCGUAACAAAGUAGGUGGACCGGAAGGUCUAUCUCGAAAGA